GCCAGCAUUCAGUUAGGGCACUCUAUGGAAACUAGCCGAUGAUAAGUCGGAGGAAGGUGUGGAUGACGUCAAGUCCUCAUGGCCCUUACGGGUUGGGCUACACACGUGCUACAAUGGUGGUGACAGUGGGUUAAUCCCCAAAAGCCAUCUCAUUUCGGAUUGUCCUCUGCAACUCGAGGGCAUGAAGUUGGAAUCGCUAGUAAUCGCGGAACAGCAUGCCGCGGUGAANACGUUCCCGGGCCUUGUACACACCGCCCGUCACACCAUGGGAGUUGGUUCNACCCGACGACGCUGCGCUAACCUUCGGGGGGCAGGCGGCCACNGUAGGAUCANCGACUGGGGUGAAGUCGUAACAAGGUAGCCGUAGGG
RNAcentral lists this ribosomal RNA (369 nucleotides) under Paracoccus sp. 1165b. RNAcentral's name for it is "bacterial SSU rRNA". It matches the Rfam family "Bacterial small subunit ribosomal RNA", at positions 1117 to 1507 of the family's 1533-position model. Lineage: Bacteria; Pseudomonadati; Pseudomonadota; Alphaproteobacteria; Rhodobacterales; Paracoccaceae. The record is from RNAcentral.